Lineus longissimus is the source of this 649-nucleotide long non-coding RNA. RefSeq lists it as uncharacterized. The transcript is spliced from 2 exons. Lineage: Eukaryota; Metazoa; Nemertea; Pilidiophora; Heteronemertea; Lineidae. The record is from RefSeq and is a predicted model, not a curated record.
GUCUAAAAACAAUAUUCAGUUAAUGGAAUUACACUUUUUUCCAUUACUGCUUGCUUGAUAUUGCCCUAACAACUUUUUCAUGAAUCAAUUUUGAGCAUUAUGUUUACAACGUAGUUAUUAUAGCACGAAAUAUGAGUCUAAAAUGCCAAAUACUUGCAACUAUUAUGUUAAUCACUGAAAUCUUAGUGUACUAAUUGCUCGCUAUAAGCUAGGUUAUUGCGCCCCUAAACCAACGUACUGACAACGCUACCUCCCCGGAACUCAAACUUUAACCGGGCAUGACUUGGUACAUCCAGUGACCCAGCAAAAAGUAGCCUCGGUACAGCCAGAAGUAGCAACAAAUCGCAAAAGGGGAUCCUUGUCUGACUGGUGGCUGGACCACAUGGUAGGUCACCAUCAAAUAAGGGAGUGGAUCCAGCACAGCUGGAUAGAGGGGGCCCCGUUGAGGGCGAAGCCUGAAUAUGGUGAGGGACCAAAGGUGCCAUCAUCGAGGGCCCAGAUAGAUGAAGAGAUUGAAGCCUGGGCUGCACACAAUCCUGUUAGAAACAAAAAGCAUCAUUGUUAUUUUGAAAAAUCCUGCCAAAAUUCUGUUGACUGUUUGUUGUCGACAAGAGUCUAUGUUUCAUGAAUAACAAGGCUGUGUUCUGUA